UACGAAGGGUGCAAGCGUUACUCGGAAUCACUGGGCGUAAAGGGUGCGUAGGCGGGUCUUUAAGUCAGGGGUGAAAUCCUGGAGCUCAACUCCAGAACUGCCUUUGAUACUGAAGAUCUUGAGUUCGGGAGAGGUGAGUGGAACUGCGAGUGUAGAGGUGAAAUUCGUAGAUAUUCGCAAGAACACCAGUGGCAAAGGCGGCUCACUGGCCCGAUACUGACGCUGAGGCACGAAAGCGUGGGGAGCGAACAGG
RNAcentral lists this ribosomal RNA (253 nucleotides) under uncultured bacterium. RNAcentral describes it as "partial 16S ribosomal RNA". It matches the Rfam family "Bacterial small subunit ribosomal RNA", at positions 524 to 776 of the family's 1533-position model. The record is from RNAcentral.